AACGAACGCUGGCGGCAUGCCUAACACAUGCAAGUCGAACGAGAUCUUCGGGUCUAGUGGCGCACGGGUGCGUAACGCGUGGGAAUCUGCCCUUUGGUUCGGAAUAACAGUUGGAAACGACUGCUAAUACCGGAUGAUGACGAAAGUCCAAAGAUUUAUCGCCAGAGGAGGAGCCCGCGUAGGAUUAGCUAGUUGGUGUGGUAAAGGCGCACCAAGGCGACGAUCCUUAGCUGGUCUGAGAGGAUGAUCAGCCACACUGGGACUGAAACACGGCCCAGACCCCUACGGGAGGCAGCAGUGGGGAAUAUUGGACAAUGGGCGAAAGCCUGAUCCAGCAAUGCCGCGUGAGUGAUGAAGGCCUUAGGGUUGUAAAGCUCUUUUACCCGGGAUGAUAAUGACAGUACCGGGAGAAUAAGCUCCGGCUAACUCCGUGCCAGCCGCCGCUGUAA
RNAcentral lists this ribosomal RNA (449 nucleotides) under uncultured bacterium. Its description in RNAcentral is "partial 16S ribosomal RNA". It matches the Rfam family "Bacterial small subunit ribosomal RNA", at positions 29 to 523 of the family's 1533-position model. The record is from RNAcentral.